CGGUGCAGAGCUGGGGCUGAGCGGGGCCGGCCGAGCAGGGCCGGGCGGCAGCGAUGGACCGCUAGGGCCCGGCCGAGCCCCGCGAUGCCGCCGCCAAGUGGCCCCGGAGUCCUCGCGCGGCUGCUGCCGCUGCUGGGGCUGCUGCUCGGCGGCGCCUCCCGGGCUCCCGGCAAGUCUCCGCCGGAGCCCCCCAGCCCUCAGGAGAUCCUGAUCAAAGUACAGUGUAUGCAUCCGUCAGCCUCUACCUGCUCCCAGAGCGGCCAGCCACCCUCAUCCUCUAUGAGGACCUUGUGCACAUCCUUCUAGGCUCUCCAGGUGCCCGCUCCCAGCCCUGGGUGCAGUUCCAGCGUAGAGCUGCCCGCCUGCCCGUC
Molecule: long non-coding RNA, 371 nt
Filed under: Rattus norvegicus (Norway rat)
Lineage: Eukaryota; Metazoa; Chordata; Mammalia; Rodentia; Muridae
Description: long non-coding RNA NONRATT006094
Source: RNAcentral